UUGUAGAGCUUUGGAAAUCUCAACGGAUUUCAGGGCUAUCCCCCUUGGCAGGAGAGAGCCCCACUGGAGCCUCCUGGAAUCCUUCCUUCAUGACCCUGAAGAACUGCCCUCCAGACCCGCAGGUGUGACCCAGAAUCAAGGAUCUCAAAGCCAAGUGGGAUCUGAGAGGCUAUCUAGACCAAUCCUCCAUUACAGACGUAUACCUUUUGAUGACUUCACUUCAGAGCCCAAAAUAUUUGCACUGCAGGCAGAAUCACCUAAAUCACUUGAUGCGAUGUUCAGUCUUCCCGUGGGCUGGAGAUGAUGUUGACCAACGGCCUUGGGAGGAGGGGUUGCAGCUGAGUCCACACCCUCUCAAACUCCUUCAGACUGUUUUUGUAGACUACUUUACCAUUAACAACAAAUCCUAAGAUUUACUCAAUUAGUACAGCAGUCGUUGGCCAGAGUUCAAAUUUCUGAUUCGAAGGAAUCUGCACUCUGCCUGCCAGGAUCGACUAUUAAUGGCUUCGUCCGUAGAGGAGCUAUGUCUUUGCUCACUAGGGAAGAGUAUUGAGGCUUCGAAAGGGGUAUUUUGCUGGUCACCUCCUGGUCAUCCUUCUGCUCACCAAGAACAGAUACUGUUCUC
This 625-nucleotide long non-coding RNA is filed under the name Macaca fascicularis (crab-eating macaque). RNAcentral's name for it is "lncRNA (ENSMFAG00000051462.1)". Lineage: Eukaryota; Metazoa; Chordata; Mammalia; Primates; Cercopithecidae. The record is from RNAcentral.